RNAcentral lists this unclassified non-coding RNA (263 nucleotides) under plant metagenome. RNAcentral's name for it is "partial contains small subunit ribosomal RNA, internal transcribed spacer 1, and 5.8S ribosomal RNA". The record is from RNAcentral.
UUUCCGUAGGUGAACCUGCGGAAGGAUCAUGCUUGUAUAACCGAGGUGCGAGGGCUGUCGCUGACCCGAAAGGUCGUGCACGCCCGAGUGCCGUCACACUCAUCCAUCUCACCCCUAUGUGCACCACCGCGUGGGUCCCCCUUUGGCUUGUUCGGAGGGGGGCUUACGUUUUCACACAAACUUUGUAUGCAGUGUAGAAUGUAUUUUUUGUUUUUGCGAUCACGCAAUCAAUACAACUUUCAACAACGGAUCUCUUGGCUCUC